This 122-nucleotide transfer-messenger RNA is filed under the name Dechloromonas sp. Its description in RNAcentral is "partial transfer-messenger RNA". It matches the Rfam family "transfer-messenger RNA", at positions 1 to 126 of the family's 374-position model. From Rfam's summary of the family: Bacterial tmRNA, also known as 10Sa RNA or SsrA, is named for its dual tRNA and mRNA-like properties. Its role is to liberate the mRNA from a stalled ribosome. To accomplish this part of the tmRNA is used as a reading frame that ends in a translation stop signal. The record is from RNAcentral. Lineage: Bacteria; Pseudomonadati; Pseudomonadota; Betaproteobacteria; Rhodocyclales; Azonexaceae.
GGGGGCGACAUGGCUUCGACGUGGGUUGCGAAGCAGGACAGGGCAUACCGAGGGCCAGUGACCUCGUAAAUCCAUCUGGAACGCAUUAACUGCCAACGACGAGCGUUUCGCUCUAGCCGCUU